RNAcentral lists this ribosomal RNA (1260 nucleotides) under Riptortus pedestris. RNAcentral describes it as "16S ribosomal RNA". The stretch from base 822 to 1191 matches the Rfam family "Archaeal large subunit ribosomal RNA", at positions 2150 to 2716 of the family's 2987-position model. Lineage: Eukaryota; Metazoa; Arthropoda; Insecta; Hemiptera; Alydidae. The record is from RNAcentral.
AAUUUAUAAAUUGUUAUUUUUUUUAUUGUUGAUUUAUUAAUAGAAAUAACUUAUUUUUUAGUAAUUUUUAAUGAAAAAAUUAUUUUUAACUUUAGUUAAUUGUACUGUAAAGGAUUUUAUAAAUUGUUUAUAAGUAAACUUUUUUUGUUGUACCUUUUGUAUCAGGGUUUAUUAAAUUAAAAUUAAUUAUUAUUAAUUUUCCCGAAAUUAAAAGAGAUAUAAUAUAAUGGAAGUUACUGUUACAUAAUUAUUUUUAAUUAUAUUAUAGGGAUGAUAUGUUAUUCAAUUUUAAAUAUCUGGUUAUUUAAUAAAUGAAUUUAAUUCAGAUAUUAUAUUGUUAAUUUAUAAUUUUAUUUUAUUUAAUAUAUAAUAUUAAUACUAAAAGGGAUAAGCUUUUUAGUAAGUUCAUAAUUUAUUUUUUAUAUAAUUUUAAUAGGCUUGACAACAGCCAUUUUUAAUUUCGUUAUAGUUUAAAUUAUAUAAAAAUUUAUUUUUUUUAAAUUUGAAUAUUUAUUAAAUUAUAUUUUUUAAUUUAUUAUUUAUAGAAAUAAUGAUAAUAUUAGUAGUAUUUUAUAUUUAAAUAUAAUAAUUCGGCAAAAAUAGUUCUCGCCUGUUUAACAAAAACAUGUCCUAUAGAUUUAAUAAUUUUAGGUCUAGUCUGCCCAAUGAUUUAUUUAAUGGCUGCAGUAUUUUAACUGUACGAAGGUAGCAUAAUCAUUUGUCUUUUAAUUGGAGGCUUGUAUGAAUGGCUGGACGAGGAACUUACUUUUUUUAUUUAAAUUUUAUGAAUUUAAUUUUUUAGUCAAAAAGCUAAAAUUUUUUUGCAAGACGAGAAGACCCUAUAGAAUUUUAUUUAUUUAUAUUAAUUAAAUAUUAAGUUAUUUAACUAUUUUAUUUAUAUAAAUAAAUUUUGUUGGGGUGACAGUGAAAUUUAAAUAACUUUCAUAUAUACAAUUCAUUGAUUUAUGUAAAAUUGAUCCCUUUUUAUUAGGAUUACUAGAUUAAAUUACCUUAGGGAUAACAGCGUAAUUUUUUUGGAGAGUUCUUAUCGAUGAAAAAGUUUGCGACCUCGAUGUUGGAUUAAAAUUAGGAUUGGGUGCAGAAGCUCAUAUUUAUAAGUCUGUUCGACUUUUAAAUUUUUACAUGAUCUGAGUUCAGACCGGCGUGAGCCAGGUCGGUUUCUAUCUGCAAUUUUAUAAAAUAUUUUAGUACGAAAGGACCAAAUAUUUAUAAUAAUUAUUUAAUUUUUGAAUAUUAUUA